ACGUCGCACUCGUACACGCCGGUUCCUCCCCCCACCGUCCGCACCCACCUGACACCUGCUCGCCACGUGUUGUUGGCC
RNAcentral lists this small RNA (78 nucleotides) under Xanthomonas arboricola. Its description in RNAcentral is "sRNA sX9". It matches the Rfam family "Xanthomonas sRNA sX9". Lineage: Bacteria; Pseudomonadati; Pseudomonadota; Gammaproteobacteria; Lysobacterales; Lysobacteraceae. The record is from RNAcentral.